Molecule: ribosomal RNA, 401 nt
Filed under: uncultured bacterium
Lineage: Bacteria
Description: bacterial SSU rRNA
Rfam family: Bacterial small subunit ribosomal RNA
Source: RNAcentral
UCGGGAAUUUUGGGCAAUGGGCGAAAGCCUGACCCAGCAACGCCGCGUGAGGGAUGAAGUAUUUCGGUAUGUAAACCUCGAAAGAAUGGGAAGAAUAAAUGACGGUACCAUUUAUAAGCUCCGGCUAACUACGUGCCAGCAGCCGCGGUAAUACGUAGGGAGCAAGCGUUGUUCGGAUUUACUGGGCGUAAGGGCGCGUAGGCGGCGCGGUAAGUAACUUGUGAAAUCUCUGAGCUUAACUCAGAACGGCCAAGUGAUACUGCUGUGCUAGGGUGCGGAAGAGGCAACCGGAAUUCUUGGUGUAGCGGUGAAAUGCGUAGAUAUCAAGAGGAUCACCUGAGUCGAAGGCGGGUUGCUGGGCCGACACUGACGCUGAUGCGCGAAAGCCAGGGGAGCAAACG